CACACACACACACACACACACACACACACACACACACACACGAGGCCACCAGGAUAAGGGAGGAGCUGAAGCCACUAGCUCAGGAAUGUUCAGCUGAGGAGAGGAGGGGCUGGGAUUCCUGUGAACUUGAAGCCAGUGUUCAGGUCCUUGAAGCAGCCGAUCUUUCCUGUCUCAUCAUCAUGUGGCCAAUGGGACUCAGCAGAUCUGUGUCACAGCCAGAGAGACACAGAGGGACUUGUACUUGGACCUUUCCUCUCAUUGGACAGGGAACUUUCUGAUGCCAGGGAAGAGAUGAGGUCAUCGGUGGAUUCAGGAUGGAGCUUAGCAUGGGUGCAUGGAUGUGGGAAGCAAACCUCAGAACAUCAGGGAGGAAAGGAGAAGGGACCCAGGAGGGAGACAGCUGUGGCUGCUGUGGCCUUUAGGACUGUCUCACAGCAGACUGGCUUGGCCUUGUCUCUCAUUUGUUAGAUCUGUUACUGAAUGGGGGGAACUCAGGUAGGGUUAUGUGCACCUUCAACCGGCUAAGACCCCUGUCCAUUCCUAAAAGUCCCGAUGGCCAUCUUUCCAACAUGGGAAUGCACUGUCCCUUCUUCUGAGGGGUUCCAGGUGGCCAGUCAUGGUGCCCACCCUGAGGGCUCAUUUGCAUCUGCUUCCAAGUAGCAGUGCGGGCUCAUGACAUGAUCAUGUGUUUUCUGUUACAGACCGAAGUUCCUGUGCCACAAUAACAGGUGAACGAGAAUGGGGCAUUCAUCUCCUGGGAGCACAGCAGCAUCUGCCCAGAAGGGUCCGGAGUCAGGGGAUGUGCAGGCUUUGACAAGAGAGGGCAGGAUGCUGCCCAAGGCCCCAGGGAGGGAGUGUCCAAGCUGGGAUCAGACUCCAGGCUUCUGACCCCGGCCCACCCACCCUUCCAUCCUGUCCCAUCACAGACAGCCUUCCUCACGGCCUGCUUCAUCUGCCUUAUCCUCUACCAGUGUCCUCUGUGGGACAAGAGAUUCAGAAGGGGAGGGAGAACUCAAGCUUGACUUCUGUCUGUAUAUGUAAUGGGAAUAUCUGUCCAGUGUCUGAUCAAUGACAAUAAACCACAGCAGAUGCCAUGAGGGUGUGUGAGACGAGCCAGGGAAGUACAGCUCUCUCUCUCUCUCUCUCUCUCUCUCUCUCUCUCUCUCUCUCUCUCCCCAUGGUUCAGUUAGAUGCAUUUGUUGAGCACAUACUACAUGGUCCAGGGGUCCAGGCACUGAGCACUCAUCAGUGGACAGAGCAGAACCAAUCCACGACAGCGAUGAUGCCACAUGGUUUGGGAUCCUUCCAGGUUUCUUACAUGUAAAUUCAAGACAGCGUCCUUGGUUCCUUCUGUCCAUGUCCCCAAGACAAGACAAGACCUGCCCCAUCUACUCAGAAACUGCUCUGCAGCUGCACAUGGCUACGGGGACCUGGGAGUGUGAGCAGUACACUUGAAGAUGCAAGGUGGUUGCAGCAUGCAGGCUGGGGUUUGAAGAGGUGCAUGACAAAAAUGAGCUGAAUUUGCAACAUUGGUGGUAACAAAAACAGACACAUAGUUGUCUAUGGUGACAAUGAAUUUUUGAUGCACUGAAUUAAAUCACAAUGGAUGUCUGCUUCCUUUUUCUCUUUCUGAGACAAGACCUCAUUAUGUGGCGUAGUCUGACCUGGAACUCAUAGGCAUCCUCCUGCCUGAGUCUCCCAAGCUGUGGAAUCACACACACACACACACACACACACACACACACACACACAGACACAGACACACAGACACACACACACCCUCCACACAGAGACCUAAUGGUUCCAUAGGUCAUUGUUGUGAACCAGUGGCUUGUUUGUCAGAUCCAAAGACAACCAUGUGACCUCAACUCUUGUACCCUGCUUUCUUAAGAGUUCAGGGCAUUGCACAGGGCACCUGCUCCCAAAGCCUGCUCCUGUCCCCAGUGCCCACUCUCUUAAUAACUGUGUGUGUGUGUGUGUGUGUGUGUGUGUGUGUGUGUGUGUCCUUCCAGCUCUUGUUCAUUCAGUUCUUGCUCUAAUAGCCCUGAGAACCAGGAGCCCCAGUGUCCCGGAGUGUGAGAAGAUGCAUGUCCCCUAGACCUCAGAACAAAUCACACUCUGCAUUGUGCUCUAGCUGAGCCCCUGGUGACCCAGAUGAUGCUGUCUGCUAUUUCAGUCUUGCCUUUUCUGAAACACCCCCAGAUACACAGAGAAGGUUUUUAACAAUCUAAUGCCCAGGGGUCCCUCAUAUAUCCUGUCAACCUGAGGGGAACCAUCACGUACCUUACACUAUAAAGCAAGUCUACACGUGAUAUAUAAUGGUCACAACCCCUGUCUCUAUGAUGGAAUGACCCUUCCCAAUGAUAAGGACCACGGAGGCUAACAGCAGGCAACAGGAAUGAGUGUUGAGUUGUCAUUGGGAGGAGCCAUAGGGUGGCUGGGUUAGAUUUCCAUGACAACAGGAUGACUGAAGAUUAUCUCUCAGAUGGAGUAAGAUGACUACAUCUGACACUUUCAUAUCACCGUGACAGCCAUGCAGAGCAAUAUCAUACUGGCUCCAGACUGGACCUGCCCAAGAGCCCUUUGGCCCUAAGCACGGUGCUCAUCCAUAUUCUGCGGGUGCCAUCAUGGUUCUGACUUAGCAUUCACCCUGGCCAGGGGAAUGGCAAGGCUUGAUGGCAGACACUUUGGGUUGUCAAACCCAUUCUUCAACUUUAAUCUUCUGACUAAGCCUGCUGUCAGAGCUCCUCCCCAUCUGUGGUGUUCCCUCUGGAGUCACAUGGCCUGAACGAUGUUUGAGAAGACCAGCUAUCAGAAUGGCUAAGUGGCUUCUGACCAGGUUACCAAGAACACAUAACGGGGAAGAAGCACUCUUCUGCAGAGGGAAUUGGGAAAGCUGGAUCUCCAUUGAUAGGAAUAAAUUCCACUCUCACCUUGGCCAUCCAAAACGGAAGCAGAGAAUCCCUAGAAAACACAGAAUAUCUUAGCCAUGAUGAUCUUGGCUGUUUUCUUGGCUCUGACAUCAAACCCACAGACAACUCAGGAUGAUUCUUUUAUGUCAGGCCUCAUGCAUGCGGGGUAAGCACUCUGCCACUGAGCCACACCCAUGGUCUCUCACUGGAACACUCUAGACAAGUCCUUCCCAGCUAAGCCACACCCUUGUUGCCUUUCUUCUCUCACACAAGGAAGCCAUUCCUUCAUGGAGACAUGUCUCCUGUGGACUUGCUUUAGUGUAGAAUGCAAGAUGCGUGAUAACAUGGUUGCUCUCAGCUUGGUAGGAGACAUGGGAGACCCCUGGGCGUUGUUGAUUCAAACCUUUGUGUAUCUGGGGGUGUUUAAAAAGGGGCAAGACUGGAAUCAUAGGCAGCAUCAUCUGAUUGUGACCAUGUCUUGGUUCUUCCAUUUCUUCUGGUGUGGGAGAAUUUUCUGUAUUCUGUCAAUCAUGUAUUUUAAUAAAACGCUGAUUGGCCAGGCAAGAAGUAUAGGCGGGUCAACCA
Molecule: non-coding RNA, 3497 nt
Organism: Myodes glareolus (Bank vole)
Lineage: Eukaryota; Metazoa; Chordata; Mammalia; Rodentia; Cricetidae
Source: RefSeq, a predicted model, not a curated record